GACAGCCCCGUACACAAAAAUGCACAUGCUGUGAGCUCGAUGAGUAGGGCGGGACACGUGGUAUCCUGUCUGAAUAUGGGGGGACCAUCCUCCAAGGCUAAAUACUCCUGACUGACCGAUAGUGAACCAGUACCGUGAGGGAAAGGCGAAAAGAACCCCGGCGAGGGGAGUGAAAAAGAACCUGAAACCGUGUACGUACAAGCAGUGGGAGCACAGAGCAAUCUGUGUGACUGCGUACCUUUUGUAUAAUGGGUCAGCGACUUAUAUUCUGUAGCAAGGUUAACCGAAUAGGGGAGCCGAAGGGAAACCGAGUCUUAACUGGGCGUUAAGUUGCAGGGUAUAGACCCGAAACCCGGUGAUCUAGCCAUGGGCAGGUUGAAGGUUGGGUAACACUAACUGGAGGACCGAACCGACUAAUGUUGAAAAAUUAGCGGAUGACUUGUGGCUGGGGGUGAAAGGCCAAUCAAACCGGGAGAUAGCUGGUUCUCCCCGAAAGCUAUUUAGGUAGCGCCUCGUGAAUUCAUCUCCGGGGGUAGAGCACUGUUUCGGCAAGGGGGUCAUCCCGACUUACCAACCCGAUGCAAACUGCGAAUACCGGAGAAUGUUAUCACGGGAGACACACGGCGGGUGCUAACGUCCGUCGUGAAGAGGGAAACAACCCAGACCGCCAGCUAAGGUCCCAAAGUCAUGGUUAAGUGGGAAACGAUGUGGGAAGGCCCAGACAGCCAGGAUGUUGGCUUAGAAGCAGCCAUCAUUUAAAGAAAGCGUAAUAGCUCACUGGUCGAGUCGGCCUGCGCGGAAGAUGUAACGGGGCUAAACCAUGCACCGAAGCUGCGGCAGCGACGCUGAUGCGUUGUUGGGUAGGGGAGCGUUCUGUAAGCCUGUGAAGGUGUACUGUGAGGUAUGCUGGAGGUAUCAGAAGUGCGAAUGCUGACAUAAGUAACGAUAAAGCGGGUGAAAAGCCCGCUCGCCGGAAGACCAAGGGUUCCUGUCCAACGUUAAUCGGGGCAGGGUGAGUCGACCCCUAAGGCGAGGCCGAAAGGCGUAGUCGAUGGGAAACAGGUUAAUAUUCCUGUACUUGGUGUUACUGCGAAGGGGGGACGGAGAAGGCUAUGUUGGCCGGGCGACGGUUGUCCCGGUUUAAGCGUGUAGGCUGGUUUUCCAGGCAAAUCCGGAAAAUCAAGGCUGAGGCGUGAUGACGAGGCACUACGGUGCUGAAGCAACAAAUGCCCUGCUUCCAGGAAAAGCCUCUAAGCAUCAGGUAACAUCAAAUCGUACCCCAAACCGACACAGGUGGUCAGGUAGAGAAUACCAAGGCGCUUGAGAGAACUCGGGUGAAGGAACUAGGCAAAAUGGUGCCGUAACUUCGGGAGAAGGCACGCUGAUAUGUAGGUGAAGUCCCUCGCGGAUGGAGCUGAAAUCAGUCGAAGAUACCAGCUGGCUGCAACUGUUUAUUAAAAACACAGCACUGUGCAAACACGAAAGUGGACGUAUACGGUGUGACGCCUGCCCGGUGCCGGAAGGUUAAUUGAUGGGGUUAGCGCAAGCGAAGCUCUUGAUCGAAGCCCCGGUAAACGGCGGCCGUAACUAUAACGGUCCUAAGGUAGCGAAAUUCCUUGUCGGGUAAGUUCCGACCUGCACGAAUGGCGUAAUGAUGGCCAGGCUGUCUCCACCCGAGACUCAGUGAAAUUGAACUCGCUGUGAAGAUGCAGUGUACCCGCGGCAAGACGGAAAGACCCCGUGAACCUUUACUAUAGCUUGACACUGAACAUUGAGCCUUGAUGUGUAGGAUAGGUGGGAGGCUUUGAAGUGUGGACGCCAGUCUGCAUGGAGCCGACCUUGAAAUACCACCCUUUAAUGUUUGAUGUUCUAACGUUGGCCCCUGAUCGGGGUUGCGGACAGUGUCUGGUGGGUAGUUUGACUGGGGCGGUCUCCUCCUAAAGAGUAACGGAGGAGCACGAAGGUUGGCUAAUCCUGGUCGGACAUCAGGAGGUUAGUGCAAUGGCAUAAGCCAGCUUGACUGCGAGCGUGACGGCGCGAGCAGGUGCGAAAGCAGGUCAUAGUGAUCCGGUGGUUCUGAAUGGAAGGGCCAUCGCUCAACGGAUAAAAGGUACUCCGGGGAUAACAGGCUGAUACCGCCCAAGAGUUCAUAUCGACGGCGGUGUUUGGCACCUCGAUGUCGGCUCAUCACAUCCUGGGGCUGAAGUAGGUCCCAAGGGUAUGGCUGUUCGCCAUUUAAAGUGGUACGCGAGCUGGGUUUAGAACGUCGUGAGACAGUUCGGUCCCUAUCUGCCGUGGGCGCUGGAGAAUUGAGGGGGGCUGCUCCUAGUACGAGAGGACCGGAGUGGACGCAUCACUGGUGUUCGGGUUGUCAUGCCAAUGGCACUGCCCGGUAGCUAAAUGCGGAAGAGAUAAGUGCUGAAAGCAUCUAAGCACGAAACUUGCCCCGAGAUGAGUUCUCCCUGACUCCUUGAGAGUCCUGAAGGAACGUUGAAGACGACGACGUUGAUAGGCCGGGUGUGUAAGCGCAGCGAUGCGUUGAGCUAACCGGUACUAAUGAACCGUGAGGCUUAACCUU
Molecule: ribosomal RNA, 2578 nt
Filed under: Escherichia coli
Lineage: Bacteria; Pseudomonadati; Pseudomonadota; Gammaproteobacteria; Enterobacterales; Enterobacteriaceae
Description: partial 23S ribosomal RNA
Rfam family: Bacterial large subunit ribosomal RNA
Source: RNAcentral